AUUUAAAAUUUUAAUUAAAUUAAUCUUUUCAUUGUAAUUGAAAAAUUUUUAUUAAACUAAAAUUUU
Molecule: transfer RNA, 66 nt
Filed under: Osmia montana
Lineage: Eukaryota; Metazoa; Arthropoda; Insecta; Hymenoptera; Megachilidae
Description: tRNA-Val
Source: RNAcentral